CCCGCACGCCGGAAGACCAAGGGUUCCUGCGCAACGCUAAUCGGCGCAGGGUGAGUCGGCCCCUAAGGCGAGACCGAAAGGUGUAGUCGAUGGGAAACGGGUUAAUAUUCCCGUACCUUGGAUAGCUGCGAUGGAGAGACGGAGAAGGCUAGGUGAGCCGGGCGACGGUUGCCCCGGUUUAAGCAUGUAGGGAGUGGACUUAGGCAAAUCCGGGUCCACAAUCCCGAGACGCGACGACGAGUUCCUUUUAGGAACGAAGUCAUUGAUGCCCUGCUUCCAGGAAAAUCUUCUAAGCUUCAGGCUAUUCGAGACCGUACCCCAAACCGACACAGGUGGUCAGGUAGAGAAUACCAAGGCGCUUGAGAGAACUCGGGUAAAGGAACUAGGCAAAAUGGUGCCGUAACUUCGGGAGAAGGCACGCCGGUGUGUAUGUGAAACCCCUGCGGGUGGAGCGGAAGCCGGUCGAAGAUACCAGGCCCCUGCGACUGUUUAUUAAAAACACAGCACUCUGCAAACACGAAAGUGGACGUAUAGGGUGUGACGCCUGCCCGGUGCCGGAAGGUUAAUUGAUGGGGUUAGCUUAGGCGAAGCUCUUGAUCGAAGCCCCGGUAAACGGCGGCCGUAACUAUAACGGUCCUAAGGUAGCGAAAUUCCUUGUCGGGUAAGUUCCGACCUGCACGAAUGGCGUAACGAUGGGGGCGCUGUCUCUACCCGAGACUCAGUGAAAUUGAAAUCGCCGUGAAGAUGCGGUGUAUCCGCGGCUAGACGGAAAGACCCCGUGAACCUUUACUAUAGCUUCACAGUGAACUUUGAAUAUGCUUGUGUAGGAUAGCUGGGAGGCUUUGAAACCAGGACGCCAGUUCUGGUGGAGCCAACCUUGAAAUACCAGCCUGGCAUGUUUGAGGUUCUAACUCUGGCCCCUUAUCGGGGUUGAGGACACUGUGUGGUGGGUAGUUUGACUGGGGCGGUCUCCUCCCAAAGCGUAACGGAGGAGCACAAAGGUGGGCUAAGCAUGGUCGGACAUCAUGCGGUUAGUGUAAUGGCACAAGCCCGCUUGACUGCGAGACAGACACGUCGAGCAGGUACGAAAGUAGGUCAUAGUGAUCCGGUGGUUCUGUAUGGAAGGGCCAUCGCUCAACGGAUAAAAGGUACUCCGGGGAUAACAGGCUGAUACCGCCCAAGAGUUCACAUCGACGGCGGUGUUUGGCACCUCGAUGUCGGCUCAUCACAUCCUGGGGCUGAAGCCGGUCCCAAGGGUAUGGCUGUUCGCCAUUUAAAGUGGUACGCGAGCUGGGUUUAGAACGUCGUGAGACAGUUCGGUCCCUAUCUGCCGUGGACGUUGGAGAUUUGAGGAAAGUUGCUCCUAGUACGAGAGGACCGGAGUGAACGAACCGCUGGUGUUCGGGUUGUUUCGCCAGAAGCAUUGCCCGGUAGCUAUGUUCGGACAGGAUAACCGCUGAAAGCAUCUAAGCGGGAAGCCCCUUCCAAGAUGAGAUCUCCCCGAGGCCUCGAGCCUCCUGAAGAGCCGUUCAAGACCAGGACGUUGA
Molecule: ribosomal RNA, 1547 nt
Filed under: Marinobacter daepoensis DSM 16072
Lineage: Bacteria; Pseudomonadati; Pseudomonadota; Gammaproteobacteria; Pseudomonadales; Marinobacteraceae
Description: bacterial LSU rRNA
Rfam family: Bacterial large subunit ribosomal RNA
Source: RNAcentral